Molecule: long non-coding RNA, 359 nt
Filed under: Zostera marina
Lineage: Eukaryota; Viridiplantae; Streptophyta; Magnoliopsida; Alismatales; Zosteraceae
Description: long non-coding RNA (ZMAR_LNC003321)
Source: RNAcentral
CUUUACCCAUUUCAAUCGAAAGUUUGAUAACAGAUGCUAUGGUAUCAACUACAUCGAUCAUGUCAUGGAAUGAAUCAAACGAUUUUAUGAAAUUCGAAAUGACCUGCGAAAAUUGGUUUCUCCCUGAAACGAUAUACCCAUUUCGUGUCGUUCUUAUGGAAGUUACGGUGAACAGAAAAUACACAGUCAUCUCAUCUUCACCAUCAUCAACAGAUAGCAUGACAUCUUUCGUACCCAAGCUAAUUUCAAAGACCGGCCAACACUUCAGUUCCAUAACGUCGACAGAGAAUACUAUCAAAACGAUCACAACUCACGACGUUCAUAUCAACAAAUAAGUAUUUGAGAGAAUUAUAGAGAAG